This is an RNA transcript of Nannospalax galili (Upper Galilee mountains blind mole rat), 1127 nucleotides long. It is a transcript of the gene named BRISC and BRCA1-A complex member 2-like, with no coding region annotated. The record is from RefSeq and is a predicted model, not a curated record. The transcript is spliced from 4 exons. Lineage: Eukaryota; Metazoa; Chordata; Mammalia; Rodentia; Spalacidae.
GGGACGUCUGUGGAGCGCGCACGCACCGGGCGCCCGCGGUGCGCGCGCAGGUCGGUGCGUCGGUCGGGGGCGCGCUCGGGGGAACCUGUGCCCCACGUAGUCGCCGGUUACCGAUAGGACUAAGUUCCAGUGGUGGCUCACAAACUAAGUUAAAAAUGUCCCCAGAAGUGGCUUUGAACCGAAUUUCUCCAGUGCUGUCCCCAUCCAUAUCUAGCGUGGUCCGGAAUGGAAAGGUGGGACUGGAUGCUACAAACUGUUUGAGAAUAACAGACUUGAAGUCUGGCUCCUUUGAACCCAGCCUUUCUUGCAUUUUACAGCAGCAGUUUCUGUCAUGCAUAUUAAGGAUUUUCUUCAUAGGAAGGAGGUGAACUUAGAGAAGACAUUUCGAGUGUGGAUGAGGGUUGAAGACCUGAUCAGGACCUGAUGACCAGUGGUCUCUGACUGCUUUAUGUCACUUCUUAAAUUGUAUGACCAUCCUAGAAGACCAGUUGGGUCUAUGAACAGUAGGCCAUAUUGUUUCUUUUCUGCAGAUUCUUUUUUGGGUAUUCCAGAGUUCCUGAACGCUUGUGUUUACAUGUAAAUAGUAAUCUGAUGAAAAAGUUGAAAUGAAUCUAUUACUCUUGGCUUAUUCAGAAGUAGCAUUGUCUCAAAAAUGUUUAAAGUGGCAUAUAAUGAAACUUAUUAGUGUUCUGUUACUAUAAUAAAAUGCCUGAAACAGCUUAUAAAGAGCAAAGGUUUAUUUGGGCUCAUGGUUUCAGAGGUUCUAGUUCAUGAUUAGGUAGAAUCAUUGCUUUUAGGUCUCUGAUGUUGAAUGACAAUUGUGGGAAAGCAUGUGGUAGAACAAACUGAUUACCUCAUAGCUAGGAGCAAAGGAGGAAAGAGGGUAGGAUGUGGGGGAGGGAGUCUUACCAUGUCUUUGGGAGCAGAACCCCCAAUCUAAGGGCCUACACAGAGCCCUGCUUCUAAAGGUCCACAGGGCUUAACAGUGGUACCAUCUUUGAGGGUCAAGCCUUUGAGGCAUAGAUCUUUGGGAGACAUUCAACAUCAAAACUAUAGCCAAGUUAUAGAAUAUAUUUUCUUUAGCUUUUAAGAAAAGAAAGCCAAGCAUGGUGAUGCACACCUGUAAU